GUCCACGCCCUAAACGAUGCGAACUAUGUGUUGGGGAAGGAGACUUCCUUAGUACCGCAGCUAACGCGUGAAGUUCGCCGCCUGGGGAGUACGGUCGCAAGAUUAAACUCAAAGGAAUUGACGGGGACCCGCACAAGCGGUGGAUGAUGUGGAUUAAUUCGAUGCAACGCGAAAACCUUACCUACCCUUGACAUGUCAGGAACUUUCCAGAGAUGGGAUUGGUGCUCGAAAGAGAACCUGAACACAGGUGCUGCAUGGCUGUCGU
RNAcentral lists this ribosomal RNA (265 nucleotides) under uncultured bacterium. Its description in RNAcentral is "partial 16S ribosomal RNA". It matches the Rfam family "Bacterial small subunit ribosomal RNA", at positions 793 to 1055 of the family's 1533-position model. The record is from RNAcentral.